Molecule: unclassified non-coding RNA, 154 nt
Filed under: uncultured fungus
Lineage: Eukaryota; Fungi
Description: sequence contains ITS1
Source: RNAcentral
CCAAAUGUAUAUGCUGGUUUUAUUCCACAUGUAUAUGUAAAGCCCAUCCAUGUUGCUUUCCCACCCCGUCUUUCUGUCGGGUGGGAAAGGUCUGCUCAAACUCUGCUUUGCUGUGGGUGUAGUCUGAGUGCAAAAAUGGCGAAAGCAUAAUAAA